CGAGGCGACCGGUCGGGGCUUCAGGCUAGUCUACUCCCGGGAUGAUCAUCGGGUUAGCCUGGCAUCCGAGGGCCGAGCCUCGGGAGAUUCCGCUCGUUGUUCGGCCAAGGCUGGCGCAAGCCGAGGCGACCGGUCGGGGCUUCAGGCUAGUCUACUCCCGAGAUGAUCAUCGGGUUAGCCUAGCAUCCGAGGGCCGAGCCUCGGGAGAUUCCGCUCGCUGGUCGUGCGCCUGUCGCUUGCCGUCCGACGGGGUUUCUCCGUGGCCAGCUGCGAUCGUGUUUCUCCUCUUCUCCAAGCGUCGCCUGGGGAACACCAGAAGGGCAUUAAACGCUAAUUGAUGCGUUACCUGGGAAAU
RNAcentral lists this long non-coding RNA (355 nucleotides) under Phoenix dactylifera (date palm). RNAcentral's name for it is "long non-coding RNA (PDAC_LNC008653)". Lineage: Eukaryota; Viridiplantae; Streptophyta; Magnoliopsida; Arecales; Arecaceae. The record is from RNAcentral.